CCUACGGGAGGCAGCAGUGGGGAAUAUUGGGCAAUGGAGGCAACUCUGACCCAGCAACGCCGCGUGAAUGAUGAAGGUCUUCGGAUUGUAAAGUUCUUUUCUAAGGGAAGAAGAAAGUGACGGUACCUUAGGAAUAAGCCUCGGCUAACUACGUGCCAGCAGCCGCGGUAAUACGUAGGAGGCAAGCGUUAUCCGGAAUGACUGGGCGUAAAGGGUGCGUAGGUGGUUUGACAAGUUAGUAGCGCAACUCCGGAGCUCAACUUCGGAACUACUACUAAAACUGUUGGACUUGAGUGCAGGAGGGGCAAUCGGAAUUCCUAGUGUAGCGGUGGAAUGCGUAGAUAUCACGAAGAACCCCGAUUGCGAAGGCAGCCUGCCGCAGCGUUACUGACGCUGAAGCUCGAAAGCGCGGGUAUCGAACAGGAUUAGAUACCCGAGUAGUC
This 443-nucleotide ribosomal RNA is filed under the name uncultured bacterium. Its description in RNAcentral is "partial 16S ribosomal RNA". It matches the Rfam family "Bacterial small subunit ribosomal RNA", at positions 338 to 795 of the family's 1533-position model. The record is from RNAcentral.